AGAGUUUGAUCCUGGCUCAGAACGAACGCUGGCGGCGUGGAUAAGACAUGCAAGUCGAACGGGAUAACAUCUGUAGCAAUACAGGUGUUAUUUAGUGGCGAACGGGUGCGUAACACGUGGGCAAUCUGCCGAGAAGUGGGGGGAUAGCUCGCCGAAAGGCGAAUUAAUACCGCAUAUGGUCAGUGAAGACAUCUUCACAACACCAAAGCCGGGGUAACCUGGCGCUUUUUGAUGAGCCCGCGGCCUAUCAGCUAGUUGGUGAGGUAACGGCUCACCAAGGCAUUGACGGGUAGCUGGUCUGAGAGGACGACCAGUCACACUGGAACUGAGACACGGUCCAGACACCUACGGGUGGCAGCAGUCGAGAAUUUUUCACAAUGGGGGCAACCCUGAUGGAGCGACGCCGCGUGGAGGAUGAAGGCUUUCGGGUUGUAAACUCCUGUCAUUUGAGAACAAGGUGCAUCGAUUAACUGUCGAUGCAUUGAUAGUAUCAGAAGAGGAAGAGACGGCUAACUCUGUGCCAGCAGCCGCGGUAAUACAGAGGUCUCAAGCGUUGUUCGGAUUCAUUGGGCGUAAAGGGUGCGUAGGUGGCGGGGUAAGUCAGGUGUGAAAUUUCGGAGCUCAACUCCGAAACUGCAUUUGAUACUGCCUUGCUUGAGGACUGGAGAGGAGACUGGAAUUUACGGUGUAGCAGUGAAAUGCGUAGAGAUCGUAAGGGAAGACCAGUGGCGAAGGCGGGUCUCUGGACAGUUCCUGACACUGAGGCACGAAGGCCAGGGGAGCAAACGGGAUUAGAUACCCUAGUAGUCC
This 810-nucleotide ribosomal RNA is filed under the name uncultured bacterium. Its description in RNAcentral is "bacterial SSU rRNA". It matches the Rfam family "Bacterial small subunit ribosomal RNA", at positions 8 to 796 of the family's 1533-position model. The record is from RNAcentral.